Molecule: ribosomal RNA, 373 nt
Filed under: uncultured bacterium
Lineage: Bacteria
Description: bacterial SSU rRNA
Rfam family: Bacterial small subunit ribosomal RNA
Source: RNAcentral
GAUGAACGCUGGCGGCGUGCUUAACACAUGCAAGUCGAACGAUCGCAAGAUAGUGGCGCACGGGUGAGGAACACGUAGCUAACCUGCCUUUGGGUCUGGGAUAACGUCGCGAAAGCGACGCUAAGACCGGAUAAGCUCCCGGGUUGUAGAGACCAGAGAGAAAAGGGGCAAGACGCCUGAAGAGGGGGCUGCGGCGCAUCAGCUAGUUGGUGGGGUAAAAGCCUACCAAGGCAACGACGCGUAAGGGGUCUGAGAGGAUGAUCCCUCACACUGGGACUGAGACACGGCCCAGACUCCUACGGGAGGCAGCAGUGAGGAAUAUUGCACAAAUGGGGGCAACCCUGAUGCAGCGACGCCGCGUGGGUGAUGACGG